This 62-nucleotide transfer RNA is filed under the name Mytilus coruscus. Its description in RNAcentral is "tRNA-Thr". Lineage: Eukaryota; Metazoa; Mollusca; Bivalvia; Mytilida; Mytilidae. The record is from RNAcentral.
UCUGUGUACUUCUGUGUCUUUAUACUGAGGAUCAUAGAAGUUAAAGUUUUAAAGCUUUGCUG